UACGUAGGGGGCAAGCGUUGUCCGGAUUUAUUGGGCGUAAAGCGCGUGUAGGCGGCUGGGUAGGUCCGCUGUGAAAACUCGAGGCUCAACCUCGAGAGGUCGGUGGAAACCAUCCAGCUAGAGUCCGGAAGAGGAGAAUGGAAUUCCUGGUGUAGCGGUGAAAUGCGCAGAUAUCAGGAAGAACACCCGUGGCGAAGGCGGUUCUCUGGGACGGUACUGACGCUGAGACGCGAAAGCGUGGGGAGCGGACAGG
This 253-nucleotide ribosomal RNA is filed under the name uncultured prokaryote. RNAcentral's name for it is "partial 16S ribosomal RNA". It matches the Rfam family "Bacterial small subunit ribosomal RNA", at positions 524 to 776 of the family's 1533-position model. The record is from RNAcentral.